Molecule: ribosomal RNA, 475 nt
Filed under: uncultured bacterium
Lineage: Bacteria
Description: bacterial SSU rRNA
Rfam family: Bacterial small subunit ribosomal RNA
Source: RNAcentral
GAUCAGUGGCUCGAGGACGACGCUGGCGGCGUGCUUAACACAUGCAAGUCGAACGGUAAGGCCCUUCGGGGUACACGAGUGGCGAACGGGUGAGUAACACGUGGGUGAUCUGCCUGCACUUCGGGAUAAGCCUGGGAAACUGGGUCUAAUACCGGAUAGGACCAUGGACUUCACGGUUUGUGGUGGAAAGCUUUUGCGGUGUGGGAUGGGCCCGCGGCCUAUCAGCUUGUUGGUGGGGUAAUGGCCUACCAAGGCGACGACGGGUAGCCGGCCUGAGAGGGUGUCCGGCCACACUGGGACUGAGAUACGGCCCAGACUCCUACGGGAGGCAGCAGUGGGGAAUAUUGCACAAUGGGCGCAAGCCUGAUGCAGCGACGCCGCGUGAGGGAUGACGGCCUUCGGGUUGUAAACCACUUUCAAUAGGGACGAAGCGCAAGUGACGGUACCUAUAGAAGAAGCACCGGCCAACUACGUG